RNAcentral lists this long non-coding RNA (277 nucleotides) under Elaeis guineensis (African oil palm). RNAcentral describes it as "long non-coding RNA (EGUI_LNC016015)". Lineage: Eukaryota; Viridiplantae; Streptophyta; Magnoliopsida; Arecales; Arecaceae. The record is from RNAcentral.
UUUUUUUAGGCCGCUCCAGGAUGCUUCGUCGAAGUUUUUACCUUUGAGAGCCCACUUUCUGUCGACAUGGGACCGACUGUUAAUGGUGGCAGCCCAUGGUAACCAAUCCUGCGCGCCCUUGGUUGGCUGGACUUCCAAAGAGAUAUGGUAUGGCUUGUUUCCGUCCUCUUUCCUUGGGUGCGGUGGGUCUCGGCUCAGCUGGGCGCUGGCCGCGUCCGAUAUCAUUUCAUCAUGUCUCAACCGUGAACAGUUGCUAGAUGGCCCCCGCUCCAGCUGU